RNAcentral lists this ribosomal RNA (382 nucleotides) under uncultured bacterium. RNAcentral describes it as "bacterial SSU rRNA". It matches the Rfam family "Bacterial small subunit ribosomal RNA", at positions 30 to 412 of the family's 1533-position model. The record is from RNAcentral.
AUUGAACGCUGGCGGCAUGCCUUACACAUGCAAGUCGAACGGCAGCACGGGAGCAAUCCUGGUGGCGAGUGGCGAACGGGUGAGUAAUAUAUCGGAACGUGCCCGGUCGUGGGGAUAACGUAGCGAAAGCUACGCUAAUACCGCAUACGAUCUACGGAUGAAAGCGGGGGGAUCGCAAGACCUCGCGCGAUUGGAGCGGCCGAUAUCAGAUUAGGUAGUUGGUGAGGUAAAGGCUCACCAAGCCGACGAUCUGUAGCUGGUCUGAGAGGACGACCAGCCACACUGGGACUGAGACACGGCCCAGACUCCUACGGGAGGCAGCAGUGGGGAAUUUUGGACAAUGGGCGCAAGCCUGAUCCAGCAAUGCCGCGUGCAGGAUGAA